This 207-nucleotide ribosomal RNA is filed under the name uncultured bacterium. RNAcentral describes it as "partial 16S ribosomal RNA". It matches the Rfam family "Bacterial small subunit ribosomal RNA", at positions 568 to 774 of the family's 1533-position model. The record is from RNAcentral.
CAUGUAGGCGGAUUAAUAAGUUUGAAGUGAAAUCCUAUAGCUUAACUAUAGAACUGCUUUGAAAACUGUUAAUCUAGAAUGUGGGAGAGGUAGACGGAAUUUCUGGUGUAGGGGUAAAAUCCGUAGAGAUCAGAAGGAAUACCGAUUGCGAAGGCGAUCUACUGGAACAUUAUUGACGCUGAGAUGCGAAAGCGUGGGGAGCAAACA